Molecule: ribosomal RNA, 460 nt
Filed under: uncultured bacterium
Lineage: Bacteria
Description: partial 16S ribosomal RNA
Rfam family: Bacterial small subunit ribosomal RNA
Source: RNAcentral
CCUACGGGGAGCUGCAGUGAGGAAUAUUGGUCAAUGGACGAGAGUCUGAACCAGCCAAGUAGCGUGAAGGAUGACUGCCCUAUGGGUUGUAAACUUCUUUUAUAUGGGAAUAAAAUGUUCCACGUGUGGGAUUUUGUAUGUACCAUAUGAAUACGGAUCGGCUAACUCCGUGCCAGCAGCCGCGGUAAUACGGAGGAUCCGAGCGGUAUCCGGAUUUAUUGGGUUUAACGGGAGCGUAGGUGGAUGGUUAAGUCAGUUGUGAAAGUUUGCGGCUCAACCGUAAAAUUGCAGUUGAAACUGGCAGUCUUGAGUAAAGUAGAGGUGGGCGGAAUUCGUGGUGUAGCGGUGAAAUGCUUAGAUAUCACGAAGAACUCCGAUUGCGAAGGCAGUUCACUGGACUGCAACUGACACUGAGGCUCGAAAGUGUGGGUAUCAAACAGGAUUAGAUACCCGUGUAGUC